Molecule: long non-coding RNA, 305 nt
Filed under: Elaeis guineensis (African oil palm)
Lineage: Eukaryota; Viridiplantae; Streptophyta; Magnoliopsida; Arecales; Arecaceae
Description: long non-coding RNA (EGUI_LNC077796)
Source: RNAcentral
CCUUCCCUGUUUGAGCCUGCUCAAGAGUUUUAAAUAUAUAUAUAUAUAUAAUAAAAUAAAAUAAUUUGAGGAUCAAGAAAUUUUCGUAUCUCCUUCCUUGUCUUAUUGACUUUCCCGCCUUCAUUGUAAGUAGGUGGUGGGCACUACGCCAUCAAGAUCGGGGUUGACAUGGGCGCUGGAGCAAGAUGUGUCUCCUGCCGCACAUCGUUGUUCUGCUGCAUCAUUUGAAUUGCAAUGGUCAGGUAUAUACUCACCGGACCGAAGUAUUGAACUGAUCUGCGCUUAUCUCCACGAUCGACAGAGGC